This 384-nucleotide ribosomal RNA is filed under the name uncultured bacterium. RNAcentral's name for it is "bacterial SSU rRNA". It matches the Rfam family "Bacterial small subunit ribosomal RNA", at positions 28 to 411 of the family's 1533-position model. The record is from RNAcentral.
GACGAACGCUGGCGGCGUGCUUAACACAUGCAAGUCGAGCGGUAAGGCCCUUUCGGGGGUACGACGAGCGGCGAACGGGUGAGUAACACGUGGGUGACCUGCCCUCAGCUCUGGGAUAAGCCUGGGAAACUGGGUCUAAUACCGGAUAUGACUCCAUGACGCAUGUUGUGGGGUGGAAAGCCUUGUGCGGCUGGGGAGUGGGCCCGCGGCCUAUCAGCUUGUUGGUGGGGUGAUGGCCUACCAAGGCGACGACGGGUAGCCGGCCUGAGAGGGCGACCGGCCACACUGGGACUGAGACACGGCCCAGACUCCUACGGGAGGCAGCAGUGGGGAAUCUUGCGCAAUGGGCGAAAGCCUGACGCAGCGACGCCGCGUGAGGGAUGA